Molecule: long non-coding RNA, 22796 nt
Organism: Cavia porcellus (domestic guinea pig)
Lineage: Eukaryota; Metazoa; Chordata; Mammalia; Rodentia; Caviidae
Exons: 2
Source: RefSeq, a predicted model, not a curated record
CAGUGGGUGUGGCUUCCGGGGUGCGGGCCCAGAGCCCGGGGCGAGCAGCCCCUGCGCGGCGCGUGUGGCUCGCGCGGUCAGCUAGAGAAACACGCGGGACGCCUUGAAUCUGGCAGCGCCCCCUGGGCUGUGAUAAGCUGAUUGCCACAUGGCAAAGGAUCCAGCAGUGCCAGCCAACAGUUUCCCAGGAGGACCUGAUCGUUCAGCUCUAUCUAUGAACGUCUCAGUUAUUCCACGUUAGCAGCUCAUCCCAUUUUCGGGGUGAGUAGCGUGCAUCUGUAGGAAGGAUCUGGCUUCAGUGCAUUCUCAGAGGGAAUCAGAAAACGCCCAGGUUACCCAGUAGGGUGUUAGCCAUGCAGAGGACAUCAGAUCGUCAAUAAAAACUGUUGAGUCCACUUGCCCCAGAAAAGCUCCUCCUGGUGCUGAGGGGCAGGAAGGGCCCAGGCGCAGAGGGCAGGAGUUCUUGGAGCUCCCCCGCCCCAGCCACUCCCGCCAGCGCCCCCGCACUGUUUGUAGCCUCUCUGGGCAUUGCUCAAGUGAGCCGCCCUUAUUACUUAUGACCACCUAAGUGGAGCGUAAGGUGGUUUCCGGGCGCAUUCCGUGGGUAUCAGAUAGCAGCUGUCGUUGAGCAAGAUGUCACCUGAGAGAUCCCACGUGAUGCUGCCCUGAGUUUCAGUCUCUGAUGACUCCACCGAGCUCUUCUGCUUUGUGGACUGAACAACCUCAGGGGAGACGAUCGCUGUUCUCCCCUCCUCACUGCCCCUCGGUUCUUCUUUUCCUUCUUCCACUUCUGCUGCUGCUUCUGCUACUCCUCUCCUCUUUUUUGGUCCACGGACUAAAAAUGAUGUCUGCAGGGCGCUGGCAGUAAUGAUUCUCCCAGCACAUUUCCAGCCCCGCUGUCUGACGCAGAUUCGUGCGGGUGAGAGCAGACACAGUCUGUAAUCUUCCACAGAAGCCUGUUACUCUGCCCUUCUCCGCAUUGAUAGAGACCAUGGAUCAUUUUUACAAUCAGCAAGAAAAAAAGGAAAAAUAAACAAGCACUUUCCAUUGGCUUCCAUGAAAAACAUUUUUUUAAAGCUUUCUUUUGUUUGGGGAAAAAAAUGUCCACCAGAAGGAUCCCUUUGGGAGUUUGGGCUUUCAUUUUUUCCUGAUGCUUAGAGUUCAGAAACAUAAAAUACUGUAGGCAGGGCGGUGGGUAGUAGUUUGAAAGCCCUCUGGAGGACACGGAAUCCAGUGGGUGGACUCUGGAGGUCCCGAUCUGGUGGCCCAGGCCGAGGGGCAGGGCUUCUGCCUGCACGGCUGUAUGCUUUUCCAUUACAACAGCCUGACUCUCGGUAAACAUCAAUCUGGUGGAGGCAGCCUCUUCUGAUUCAUCUUCAGGUUGUCUUUGGACGUCUUGUGGAGUAGAUCUGUCACGGGUCCAAGUCUAUACAUAGCUCUUUCCGAAAAACCCAAGCCCUUCCAGAUUGCUGAGUCAGAGCCACUCAGUAUUUAUAACACUUGAGAGUCGGUUCUGUAUGUUUCACGGGUACCAGAGAAGCAUCUAGGACAGGAAGCAGGGUUUAACAGUGUCUGUCCAGAUCCACACAGUGCACCCCACCGCAGGGCCCUGCACAGGGCCUGACACUGGUGUAGAUACUUGGUAAACGUUUGCUGAGUGAGUACAUGCUACGAGAAUGAGGACUUUUCUGUCCACGAGGUGUGGCUUCAGAUGCUUCCCAUAAUUCCUCCCUGAACUCCAAACAGGUUUUUCCAACGGCCUGCAUGAUGUCUCCAGUGGAUGUCUUAACAGACAAGUGAAACGUAGUGCAUCAGAGAAUAAAUCCCGAGUUUGCUGUUAAAUGUAACCCUUCCCUAAAGCCAUCCAUGUACUUUGGAGGAAGUGUGGGGUUAUUCUUGAGCUCAGUCUUUCAGGCCCCUCAUCCAGUUCAUCAGCAAACCCUGCAGCUGGCAAGCCGAACUUUCUGAGCCCAGCACCUCACGUCCUCCGCCCUUGAUGUGGCCGCCUUCACCCCUCUGACCUUCUCUCACCCCAAAUCACCCCACUUUCCCUCAGAACCGUGCAGUGAUUUUUCCAUCAAACUUAGGAAAAUUAAUAAGCUACCUGGUUUACAAAGCCCUGUGAGCCUGUGUGUCUCCUUUGUGAUCUCAUUUCCUGCCACACGUCCUUCGGUCAGUGUACCAACUAAACUGGCCUUCUUGUGCUUCCUUGACUAGGCCUAGCAUGUUCCCACCCCAGGACCUUUGCACUUGCUAACUUCUCAACUUGAUAGUCUUCUCCUCAUAUUCUUGUUGUUGGUUGCUGUUUUGUUCUACUUUAAUUACAAUUCAAAGGUCAACUCCUGAAAGGCUUUCACUCACCCUCCGGCGUAUGCCUCCCUGUAGCAUGCUCCAUCUCCAUUACAUUUAAUCACUACUUACAAUUAUCCCUGUUUAUUUGUAUAUUGUGUAUCUUCUGAUUAUAGUAACAGGUUUUCAUAAGGCUGGGCAGGCUUCCUCGUUGUAGACUGAAACACAUCUGAGUUACACUGUGUGCUCAGUAAAUGUUUACUUACGGAAUGAAUGGUUUCCUGGACUUUGUUUUGUCUCCUGCUGCCUGACCCGACCCGGCCAACUUACAGCAGGAUGAAUUCUCAGAAAGGACCUGAAGUGAAAUUUCCAAAUUUUAAGCAAGUUGCAUUUUAGCAGCUCUGGCCACAGGUUGCCCUGAUAGCCUCUUUCUGACCAGGUCCGGCCAGAGUCUGUCGGUCCAGGUCAGGGUGCACCACUUUGCAUGUUUGUCAUAUAAAUAAAGUUUGGAUACUGUCUGUUAUUUAUGUCCUUAUAAACAGCACAUAAAAGGCAUUUAAAUCUUCCCAAAGAAUUCUAGCCUAUGUUCAUGGAGUACUACUCAGCCACAAAGAAGGAUAAAGUGGAGGCUUUUAUAGGUGAAUGGAUGCAGCUUGAGACCAUACUCAUUAGUGAAAUAAGGGACAUAUAUCUAGCCCACGUUCUGUAUUCGGCAGCAUUUAGCUCAUGAGAAACUCGUUCUGGACCUCAGAUCUGUUUAAAUGUCUGCCAAGGCCGCUGAAGCCUUCGUGUGUUGGCUUCCUGACUGCCCGCCUUCCGGCUCGCCUCCUCCCCGCCCUGGAGACUGUAGCUCCGUCACACGGCGUCCUCCGUUUAUUCGUCUGUGGAGUUGGGAUUAUUAGCAGUGACUGCGGGGAUGAAAGGAGACCAUUCUGCAGACGUGCUGGCCAAGGUCUGGCGCAGAGAGCUGCUCAGUAAACGCUAAGUGUGGUUAAUUUUGUUAUUGGUCCUUGUUUUUACUGAGAUCCUUGCCCAGUGCGGACAAGUAAAUAUUCUCUCCAUCCAGUUCCAAACCCUCCCAGCUGCAGCACCUGCAGGUCUAGGCCAGACUCCCUCCGGUCUCCCUGAGGUUAGCACUGGGAAUCAGGUGAAUCCCAUCCACUUUUAGUGCCACGGGACACUUCCAUGACCGCCCCACGUCUCUGAGCUCGCACCUGCCCUUUAUUUCAGGCUCCAUGCUUUUUUUUUCUUCUUGCAUUUAAAUCUAUUCAUCUAUUUUCUGAUGGAGGGAGGGGGAGACAGGAGAAGUAAAAAGGGUUAAAAAGGCAGUAUGUAUUCCGACCAGCUCCCCACUAUGGGCGUAUUCAUUAUAUGAUGCAAAUGCAGUAAUAAAAAAUAAAGAGAACCUUUAAGUCGGGGAUUUAGCUCAGCAGCACAAGCGCCUGCCUUGCAAGCACACGGUUGUGAGUUUGAGCCUUGGUACAAAAAAAAGAACCUUGAAAUACACUUUCCAUUUAAACCUUUAAAUACAAAAUCCAUUUGUCUUCUCUGGAAUACAUCAGACUUAUUCAUGUCCAUUUAUCAUAUUUGAAAAAGUCCCUCUUUUGGUCUAAUGUACAGAGCCCGGGUGUCACCAGCCAGGUCGAGGCACGGGACAUUCCGUCACCCCUCAGCCGCCCUUCCAUGCCACCCGGGGGAAACCGGGUUCUCACUUCCAUCACCGCUGAUUAGUUUUAUGCUUGGUUUGCUUCACUCAAUGGAAGGUCUUCGAGAUUCUUUGAUUUUGUUGCUCGUUGCUGGGUCAGCCUGCCUUUGUGAGCACGCCACAGUGUGCCCAUUUCCUACUGAGGGAUGUUGGCACCGUUGCCAGUUUGGGGCUGAGCAAGAAAGCCAUCGUGGGGUGGGGGUAGGGGUGGGGGUGGGGCGCAGGCCUCAGCCCAGGCAGAGGCGAGUUCGAGACCAGCCGGGGCUACAAAGUGAGCUCAAGGCCAGCCUGGACUGCGUAGCGAGACCUUGUCUCAAAAGACCAAAGUGAAUAAAUAGUAAAGCUGGGGCGGCCCUGGGCGGAUGUGUGCACUCUUCCCGUGGGGCACUGCCAGGCUGCUGUCCCCGGUGGUGGCACCUGGCUCUGCUCGUGAUAACUCGCUCUUGUAUUAUUUGUCUUUCACAAAUACUUGGCAGUUUUUAUUAUGAGGCAAUUACUUGCAUUUCCCUUUUUCUUCUUGAUACCUUGGGGGGAACCCGGGGCGUCCUGCACUCCAGGCAAGUGCCCCACCACCAGGCUAGAGCCCCAGCCCUUUUUACUUUUAUUCAUUUACUUAUUUGAGACAGGGUCUCCCUAUGUGGUUCAGGCUGGUCUCAAACUGACUUUGUAGCCCAGCCUGGACUCGCAGCAUCCUCCUGCCUCAGCCUCUUUCCUGAGUGACGGGAUUAGAGCUGUGUGACACCAUGCCUACCUACUUCUUUAUUCUGAACAGGGUCUCACUAAAUUCCCUUGAACUUGUCAUCCUCCUGCCUCAGCCUCCCCAGUAGCUAGGACUAUAGGCAUGUGCCUUCCUGCCCAGUUCCCUUCAUUAUUUUUAUUUUUAUUUAUUUAUAUUUUUGUACCGGAGAUCAAACUCAUAACCUCACACUUGCCAGGCAGGCGCUUACACCGCUGAGCUAAAGCCCUGGCGCCCUCAUGAUUUUUAAAUUGGAUUUUAAUUUUUAGGAGUUCUUUAUUAUUUAUAAUACAGACAAAUUUCUUCCGGUUUGUGCUUGCCUACUUUUUAAUCUGAUACCUUUGAUGAACAAACAUUCUUAAUUCUUUUUUUUUUUAUCGGUACCAGGGAUCAAACUCACGACUGUGCGCUCGCAAGGCAGGCGCUUAUGCUGCUGAGCUAAAUCCCCAGCCCCCAACAUUCUUAAUUCUAAUGAAGCUCAAAUUGUCGAUCUUCUGUGGUGGGGUUUUCGUAUUCUGAUUGUUAGGUCUGGGAGAAGGGAGAGGAGAGGAGAAGUCUGCGGGAGGAAUGGAGCGGAGUGGACGGCCGUAAAAGUAGUGGUCAGCGGUGGCUUUAUUCCGGGAAUGCGGGGAGGGGGCCCCCGCCCGGCAACUCUUUCACUGAUGAAGAAGUUUUUCCAUUCGACAUCCUCUGUGCUUGCUUCUAGAAGCUUUUUCCCCCCUUUCCCACUUAGGGUUGUGAUCCACCACAGAAAUACACAUUUUUCUUGAGUCCAGCUCAGAAUUUAUUUCUUCAGGGACCCGGAGACCGCCAUAUGACAUUCACUCACAUGUUUCUCAUUUAGCAAAAAACAUAAGCACCUCCCGCGUACCAGGACCCUGCGGGACCCCACAGCAAUUCGGGUCGACACUGAGCUGGAGGAGCUCACUGGCUGCUAGGGGAAGGAGGGACAUCUAGAGAGAAUGUGGCCAGCCUGUCCACCCGUGCUGUCCAGAGGACCCUCCGCUUGGGAUGUGGCCAGGCGUAUGACAUUUCCUGCACACCAGCAAUCCUGUCUUACAGCUGUUUCUUCAGCUAAAAACCCAGGUCCCCAUGCCUGGCUUCAAGGCGUCCACUGACUGACCCCCUUGUCUUCUAGAUCGCACCAUCUUUUAUGUGAAACUCUGCAACCCACCCACUAGGACUCACACACAGUGGACUGCGCCACCCCACUGGACCAUGGGUUUACUUUGACUCCUGCCUGGGUUCCCCCCAAUGUUUGGUGCCUGGAAAGCUGUCCAUCUCUCCGGUGUCAUCCUGAAAAGUCCCUCCCGUACAGCUCCUUUCUGUCUGUGCCUCAAGAUCUGUCUGGAGUCCGGGUGCCAGGUUCAAGUCCCGCUCCUGUCACUUUGCAGCUCCCUGGCCUGGGCAUCCAAUGGAAACCGCCCAGCCUCAGGCUCCCCGUGGGAAUAACUGGUCCCCGGCAUAGCAGGUUUGUGCAGGAUGAAUGGCAUCAUCCAAGCACAGUGGCCUAGCACAGUGUGUGGCAAAUGCCACGUGUUCCUCAAAUGUUAGCUUUUGAAAACAGUCCUGCCAUCCAGUGAGGACAUUUAUCUGUAAGCGUCAGGUCAGAGAUCAUCUCCUUAGUGUUCCUAUUAUUUUUCUAGUUCCACAACAAGUCCUUACAGCUGCACACAGGAGAGAUUAGGCUCUCCCUCCUCCGGUCUAAGUGACUCAGGCUCGGAGAGGGCACCGCUGUCCCUGGCUAAUGUCCUCAGCCAGCUAUGGGAGCCGCUGAAGUCCUGGCUGCUUUGCAGAGUGCCAAGCUGUGAUCAUGUGUUGGCCCCCCGCUGUGCAUCCCCAGCACCUCCACAGGGAGCCUGCAGAAUAUGGGACUGAAUCCACGAGACCCGGAGCCUACCCACGUGUGUCACAGAGGCGCCAGGGCUUAGCUGGGCUGCUGGAGUCCCAGGUGUGACCCUUGAAGUGCACGAUCGAUCCGAGGUGGAGACCUGCGUGGCAGAUCACAUCUGGGCAGGAGACUGUUCUCAGCUUUUCACUCUUGGGAAACAGGUUUCAACACCGAUAAUUUGCACUUGUCCCUUCCAGGGCGUGAGCCGUGACUGGCAUGGUGCCACCAGUCAGGAGGAGCCAGUCAGUUGUCACUUUCUCAAAGUUUGCCCUAUUUUUUUUUUUUUUUGUGUGUGUGUGUCUUUUUUCUUUUUUAUCGGUACUGGGGAUUGAACUCAGGACCACACACUUGCAAGGCAGGCGCUUAUGCUGCAAGCUAAAUCCCCAGCCUCAAUUUAAUGAAGCUUUAAAACAAAGAACCUGCUGUUUCUCCUGGUGCUGGUCCCCCAUCCCAGCCUUGACGUUGUACAGGAGAGUCCCAGGAAGGUCGUUUGGCCCCUCCUGUGCCAUGGUGAGGUGUCUGGGCAGCAGGGGCCACAGGCCAUCAUCUGAAUCUCUUGUGGCACAUGCAUAGGGUAGGAACCAUCAAUCCACCACAGUGCCCCUUCCUGGCUAGGCAGGAAUUCAACAAAUGAAUGUCAAGUUCUUUAUCUGUGUGUUUGUUUCAUGCCAGGCACUGGGCUAGGCUUUGGGAGGGAGAGAGAAGGAAGCAGAUUCCAAUCAUGUCUCAGGAGUUUCACAUGCCAGCCCAGCAGGCAAGAUGCAAACACAACAGACAGCUGAUUUAGAUAAAUGGGGCAUGGGGUGCGGUGUGGCAGGAAGCCAUGCUGGGCUCCAACCCUUUUCAAGGCAUCACCGGUCCUUACAGGCUGCUGGCGGAUUCUUGGGUAUUAAAACAAGCAUGGCAUGAUAUGGAGGACACUGGAACAGGUGCACAGGCACAGACUGUCCGCUCACUGUCGCCGGGCAGCUCCCCUCUUCUCCGCAUCGCGAUGUUUGGUGGAUAAUGGCAGACCCUGCCGUUGGCAUGAGCGGAAUUGGAUUUUCAGCCCGAGCUUCCUCCACCGCCUGCUACCUCUGUGACUCUGAGCUCCCUGCACCGCAGCUUCCCGCCAUUUUUGAAGGAUGAAUACUUUAUAUAAAGUAUUUGUCACACACGGCAGUGAUAAAGCCCAGGUUUAUAGGCUGUGGAGGGAAGGAUGGAUGGAGGGGCAGAUGGACAGACAGAUGGAGCAGGGAAUGAAACACUGUCACUAUCCAGUAAAAGGCUAUGUUCCCUUGGUCAUUAAUAGUUUGCAACUUUGUAUCAUUUUGCACCCUGGAAACACUUCCAGAUCAUACAAAAACCAUUUCACUUAUGAGGAGUCCUAAGCAAUGCUCGGGGGCCAACACUGGUCAACCUGAGAUGGGAACCUGUGCCUGGUUCAGCACAGGGACAGGGAGGAGGGGUGCUGUGUGUGUGGGGGGGACAGCUGGUGGGCAGCUUGUGGCAUGCUGCGGGGUGUGGAGGGCCACCUGGGGACUGCUGCCAUAUAAAGGAGACCUGGGGAGGAGGACGUGGUGUGCUGGGUUUCCUGGAGGAGCUUGUCACGCAGACUCAUCGGAUACCAGCUCUGCUGUUCUCAUCACUGGAGGAGCGCAGGACCUCAGUGUCACUGAGGAUGGCUGUGGUACUUUUGGGGGCAGCGCUGGUCCCUUGUUGCUUUCUGGCUCCAGUGCAGAUCCCUCAGCCUGCUGGCACAGACUUUCUAGCUUCCACUGCUGACCUUUGGGCCUUCGCAGUACAGAUCCGUGAACAGACUUACAUGAGUCAUUGUCAUGGGUUCUAGGCCUUCAGCUGGACUCACGCAGGACACUGCUGUGGGAUCCAGGCCCUCAGCUGGAUUCUUUGGAUCUUUAGUGUGUGGAGAGAUUUCCUGCAUUCUUUCAUUCCUGACUCUUUGGGUGGCUGUUGUAAAAUAAUCCUACGAAUCACAGGGCCUGCAAUAAAUUGCUUCCCUUGCAAACCCCCGACCACAGCAGGUACACCUUUCGAAGUGCUGCCUGCUAACUUCGGUCUCAGGGCGUCAGCCGCAGAGGCACAGUCCUUAGUGCUGGCCCAGUGCGAAGUCCUGCGUGUUGUCUGCCGAGACCCUAACGCUGCGAUAGUUGUUGGUUCUGCUCUCCCAGAGAACACGCGUGCACACACACACACAUGCAUGCGGGAUUCACUGUGACUUCAGGAGGCCUCCUCAGAUGCCCAAGACAUCUACACAGACGUCCUGGGCAAAGCCAAACCCAGAGCCACACUCACAGCCUCGAGGCAGGCUUGAGGGGACACGGUACCCCAACACAACAAACCCGGUGACUUCAGCCGAUUCCAAGCUCUGCAAGCAUUUCAAUUUCAAGACCUCGGCUUUCAGUACACGUUCGGUGCCAGUGCCACACCACCCCUUUCCCUCUGAGACUUUCAAAAGUCUUGGUGGAGAUGAGAAUUGAGGUCAUCUGUGUUGUGGAGAUCCACAUUGCCCGUGUGCUAAGGGGACGGGGCGGAGGCCGGCGGGCGGGGUCGUCCGUGUUUACCUGGCGUUGAUUUGGCCUCAUAGUGGGCAAAGCCUUCUCUGGCAUGAAAGACAAGGCCAGCCGUGGCAGAGCAGGGGCUUUGCUCGGUGGCAGAGUGCCCGCUUGGCAUGCUCGAGGCCCUGGGUGUAAGCUAUGGCACAGACAAAAGGAAAGAAGUCAGAAAGGAGAGGAGAGGAGAGGGGAAGGAGAGGAGAGGAGAAGGGUGGCUCCAGGCCGAGACCCUCGAUGGCACCCUUUGGUUCCCACACACCCGAUGCGCACAUGCAGCACCUGCUGUGUGUCGGACACUGGUCUACACUCCUGUGAGCCUAAAAUGAAGUGAAGAAUACAGUUAGUAAUGAAUGCAAUGAAUUAUAUGGUAUAUCAGGAAACAAAAAGCUAUAUGGGGGGGGGAGUAGGAAGGAAUUGGGAGAGCACGUGACGGAGGAACAAACUGUCGUGUUAAACUCGGUGAAGGCAAACGAGCAAGACCCAAAGCAGGCAGGAGAGACCACAUUGGAAAGGAAGCCGCAGGCUGCCAAUAACAACUCUGAAUAGACAGCAUUCACUCAGCCACUCAACAAGCAUUCACCGAGUGCCUUAAGAGCCAGCUGCUUGGGGUUAUCUGAACAAGAGCCCCAAAGAUACCCAGGUUCUCAUGGACGGGACCUGAUUGGCCAAGGGGACCCUGCCAUGGGCUCCAGGGCAGGAUUUGGAGGUGGGGCAGCGUCUGGGAUCAUCCAGGGAAACCCCUGGGGAGCCCAAGUAUCCUGGGAGGGAGAUGAAGUCAGAUUUGACCCUUGGGAAGGAAGAAAGCGGCAUGGCAGUGGCAGGACAGUUUGUCAGGCAGCAACCGGAAACUCCUGUUCUUGCUGAGCUCGAGGUAUGUGGCUGUGUGACCCAGCGAUAGUGCAUGCUGUUAUUAUUGUUAUCAUGAGGGAGCUCACGCCGGCCCCUACCCGGGAGGCGGCACAAACGCAGCACCCAGGCCGGCACUGUCCCUCCCCCGCGAAUGCCAGCCGCAAGCCAAGGACGAGCACCCCCUCUGGCUUGCCCAAACCAAAUGACAAAUGGAUGACCACACCCCAAAUGGGGUGCUGAGGUGACCUUCACCAGGCAGCCCGAGUCUCUCACCAGUCCCACAGCUCCCCACCAGCUCCCCACCUCCUGGAAGGAGGCGGGACCUACGGGAAUGUCAGACACCGUCACCGCUGCUGGAAAACGGUGGCUGCACCUACCUAGGGAAAACACCAGGCGGCCAGGCAUGGGACACACACCCGUCAUCCCAGGACUCUGGGAGGCUGAGGCAGGAGGAUUACAAAUUCAGGUCCUGCCUAGACAGUGUAGUGAUUUAACCAGGCUAGGGCUCAAAAUUAAAAAAAAAAAAUGAACUGGGGACGUAACUCAGGGUGAAGGCCUUGGGUUUAACCCCUGGUAUCACACAUGCAAAAAUAAAGUAUAAAAAAACACAAGGAGGGGUGAAGAUCUCAGGGCACCCCACCAAGGCCCAGCAGGAGGGAGCAUAGAUACAUGCGGGGUGUACCCGAAUGUCACCAGGACUCUGUGGUGGAGACAGGAAGUUGUUCAAAUCCCCACUAAAGAAAGAGACCCGGGAACCCCCUUGGGCUGAGGCUGGCGUCUUAGCUUCCUGGUUUUGAACCAAAUCCUUGCUGGGUGCAGCAGAGAGCUCCUGACCACUAAACUGCUUCCUGCUGCGGGGAGGAGACGUCUUUUUUCUAGGGUAUGGGGAAGGGGAAGAAACUCCAGUUUUUCUAAGUGGGAGAUGAAUCCACCCUACAGGUGGCUCUUACGUGGGAGGGAUGGACACCCACAUGUCACACUGUGCACAGCGAUGAUCUCAAAUGGAUCAUGGACCUAAAGCUUGGUGGCAAACUACAGCAUUCUGAGAGGAAAGCCCAGGAAUAACUCUGCCUCCUUUGCCCCAGUGCUGUGGGUUGAACCACGUCUUCCUGCUCUGUGAGCUAACGCUUUGUCUCUGAGCUGCAGCCUAGCCCAGGAGUGAUUCUCAUGACCACGGGUUAACUAAUGGUUUCUUAGAUAUAACAUCAAGAACACGUUAGCGAAGAAAAAUCAGAUGAAUUGUAGUUCAUCUAAAUUGAAAAAAAAAAACAUGUUUGUACUUUAGAGGACACCAAUGAGAAUCAAAUGACUACCUAUGAAUGAGAGAAAAAACUUAAAAUCAUGCAUUGAUGAGGGGCUUACCAUAUAUUACUGAAUCCUGUAACUCAACAAUAAAGACAAAUACCCUGUAUUAAAAAAUGGCAAAGGAUCUGAGUUGUUCUUCCAAAGAAAAUAUUUGAAGAGCUAAGAAGAACGUGGAAGUGUGUUCAGCGUUGCUAAUUCACUAGGAAAGUAAAACCACAAUCACACUAAGUACCACUUCUCACCGGGCAGGACGGCUGGAAUCAAAAAGCCAGGCUGGAAUAGGUGUCAAGGAGGAUGCUUGAGUCUCUGUAGGUUGCUCUUGCGAGUGUACAUUGUAGCCACUUUGAAAAACGAGGUGGCCCAAUGUGGCAGUUCCUUAUAAUAUUAAACACAAAGUUACCACAUGAGGCGCAGGUUCACUGCUGGGUGGAGCCCCAAGAGAAAUGAAAGCACGUGUCUACAUAAAAAAACCUGGACAUGAAUGUUCAUAACAACAUCACCCACACAGUCAAAACCAGGAAGCAAUUCAAAUGUUUCCAGCAGAAACAUUUGGUGUGCAUUAGGAAAAUAUGGUCUUGUCAAAGAGUAUUACUCAGCCGUAAAAAGGGAUGGGGUAGUGAUUCAUGCAAUGACAGAUGAACCUUGAAAACACUCUGCUACAAGCCAGUCAGAAAAGCCCUGCGUGUUAUAUCCUUCCCUUUAUAUAAAAUGUCCCACAUAGGCAAAUCUGUAGAGCUAGGAAAGAGAUUCGUGGUUUUCCUGGGAACAGGGUUCAAGAAGCGCGUGGAAUGGGGAGUGAUACCAAAGAGUGUGGGGUUUCCUUUUGAUGUCAGUGUUCUCAAAUCACACAGUGACAAUAGUUAGGUUACUCUCAAUACACUACAACCAUGAGUCACACACUUCCCAUGGCUGACAUUUGCAUAGAUAAGUUAGAUUCUGAGAAAUCUGUUAUUUAAAACAAAACACAUCAGCCCUUGAUUGUCCUGGAAGCGGCCAUGGUGACAUCUCUUCAGCUAGUGCCACUGUGUGCCCUAUGUCAGGAAUGUGCCAGGGCUGUGUCUUCUGCUGUGGCCUGGUUUGCCCCAGCUUUGCCGUGCUCUCCCCUGAAUCCAGGCCCAGACACCUGAGCUGGCCAUUUGGCCAGGCCACCUGCUGCCAUCCCUCCCCUCGCCCUCUGACGUGUGCCGCCCCCCUUCUGGGGACUGUGCUGCAGGAGGAGGAGAGCUGAGGGCAGGGAAGAGGGGGGACGGGAGACCGACCGAGGUCAGUCACGCUGCACCCAUUUCUGCCCCUGUCCCGACAGAGGUGUUUGCUGAGCCUCGCAGCCGCGGACAGGUUCAGCCUCACACAUCCAACAGUGUCUGCAGCUGCAGCUCCGUGUCUGGAGCCAAAACCUUUGCCCUGCUGAGAAAACAUCCCCGAGGGGGAGGCCAAGAAGGGUCCAAGGGUGGGGAGGGGGAGGGAGACUAAGCAAAAUGAAGAUAUAUUAUGCACCUGUACAAAUUCCCUAUGAUGGAUAUGAUUUUUUUUUUUUGUACCGGGGAUCGAACUCACGACCUUGCACUUGCCAGGCAGGUGCUUAUGCCACUGAGCUAAAUCCCCAGCUGAUGAAUAUGAUUACUAUGCAUUAUGUAUAUGUACUUGUUUAAAAAAAAUUUAAAAAGCAAAUUUAAAAAUAUCCCCAAAUUCAAAAAACAAACAAACAAACAAGAAUAGUAAAAAAUUGGGGCUGGGGAUUUAGUUUAGUGGCAUAAGCCGCUGCCUGGCAAGCUUGAGGUCGUGAAUUUGAUCCCUGGUACCAAAAAAAAGAAUAAUAAAAAUAGCCCCAAAUUCACUUUUCUGCUCUUUGGCUCAGAAAUCUCAAAUUUUAAAUCCAGCCAGACAAACAAACAAACACCACUUGUGUACGAGGUAAGGAGAAGCACAAAGAGACUCUUCAGGCAUCACUAUAAUGGGAAAGACUGGAUACCGCCCCAGUGUCGGGUGAUGCACCAGGCCCCGGAGAGGGAAUACUGUUCACCCAUUCAAAGGAUUUAAUGACCUGGGAAGAUGCUUGUACCCUACGUUAAGAGAAAAGAAAAAAGGCAGGUUAUGAGCUGGUGGAUAGGUUGUAAACUGACCACUAAAACGUAGACCGUGCCCCGGAAGGGUACACAGGAAAACACCGAAUGACCGGCUGUCUUUCUCAGAUCUUUCUGCCUCCCCACUCUUUCCCUGGCUUUUCUUGGGAGGCGCAUUGUUUACCUGCUUGGUUCAGUCACCCACAUCCGCCCCCAGGCCUCCUCCUGAGCUGCACCCUCCACCUGCAGUCAGCAGCCUCUUGCAGGUGCUGUGCCCAGCUGCUGGGCAGCUCCUGACAUCCCGCCCGUGCGGGAAGCUGCUGCUCACACCCCAGAAGCAGGAAGCCUGUUAAACUCCCCCUCUCCGCCCCCCAGCACGUGUGCUACGCACCUUGGGUGCAAGGAGGUCCCCUGGGCCUCUUGGCUGACCUCAGCCUUGCAGGAUGUUUCUUGAUGUGGUCCUGUAGGAUGCUAUAUGUGGCCUCAGAGUCACAACUUCCAAAAACAGUUUUUGAAGAAGUGUUAAGGCCCACUCGUCUCAUCUCAGUAUCACAAUGAAGAUGAAGAUGAUGACAUUUUGGUGUCUGAGUCCUAAUUUGCAACAGCAGUGAGUUCCCCUGACCGUUUGCAAAUCACCCAGGCCGUCACUAAGAAGUGAGCAACGUGCUUUUGCUUAACCUGGACCGUCAGCAUUUGGAAAGGCACUAAUUCUGCCAACAGAAGUUUGGCCCAGAGCAAAUGGGCGGGAAAACGUACUGGAGGUGCAGCUUGUGUGCAUUCAGGCUGCUCAUGGUGGAUUUGCCCCGGAUUCAUUCAGGCUGUUCCUAAGUUCAGUCACACUAGAGGCAGCUCCAGUGGGAACGUUAGUGGGUCGGCAGGCGUCUGAGGCCCCAAGUGCGCCUGAUACUCACUCCUAGAGCACUUGGGAAAUGGCUGGCCUCGGCAGAGCGGUAAACAAAGCCAGUGUGACUUUUCCUGCCCAACGUCCUCGUCACCUUUCACACCUACAAGGGGCAUAAUGGUGAAGGAAGGCUCUGAGGAUGCCACGGACUGUCUUGUGGUUCCUACAAGAAAGGAGCUGCCUCGUAACGCUUGGGAGCUCUGAGCUGACGCCCCUGGGCUGUCCAGGUAUGAGACAGUGGAACCGGAGAUCCAGACAAAGGAAUAUGCGGACGACAACCUUUGAUGUUUUUGAGAGCGAGAAAACAAGCUUUGGUGUGCCAGCCUUCCUCGUCGGUCCGGUGUGCCACCUGCCAUCUUCAAUAAGGCAAACAAACCACAGGCGUGGGUCUCCUCCCCGCGGAGCUGCGCCUUGCUUCAUGAUGAGGUCUGGGUACUGUUUGGCAAAUGGAAUGGAGCAGAGGGGGGUGGGGAGGCCUUGCCGCAUUCCACCUCUUUCAUGUAUUUAAAAUAGAAGACUAGGUAGGCGGAUUUUCUUGUGCUUUCCGGAGGUCAUGAGGGCGGACGUCUCCCCUCGGUCCGUCUUAUCGUCUUAUCCCGAGGCUGGAGGUUCUGAGGUUCCCCCGGGAGGUUCCUCCACUCUGUCAACUCGGUGGGGUGUGUUCUUGCUGAAUGGGACACACGAGAGGGGCGCUCAGGGGAGGACGGAAAGGCUGAUGAUGGAGGGGAUCUUGGGGACAGCAAGAGAAGAGACGGAGGAGAGCGGAACCCGAGCGGCAAUGCUGUGCUGUCAUGGAGCCCCGUGACCUGUCUUCCCCACCUUUAGGUCUUCUAUGAAACUUGUGUCCCUUGCCUGUGAGCUGCAGCGUUGAAUCUUUUUGCCUCGGUUACUCGUUCCUGCAGUGAGACCUACUGUGUGCUGAGUGACUAAAGUUAACGUUAUCGGUGCCGAGGACAGAGUUAGUGCCCAGAACGUCCCGGGGGUACAAGAAGCUGGAUGAAUUCACCGCCUGGCCGGGUCUCCGAGGAACACCGCUGUGUGCGGAAAGCCCGUCCCAGAAGCCCACUGUGAUUCCACUUAGGUGACGUUUCCACAAUGACAAACUUUUGCAAGUGACAGCUGCGGCGGCGAGUAUGGGUUGGGGAGCUGGAGACAGGAGGGGUGAUGAUUACAGAGCCACGGGAGGGGCCCUCAAGCCCAUGCCCAGCACCUUACCGUGGCGGGGAAUCCCGGCAGCUACCGAUUUUACAGGGACGAGAAAAUUGCCGAGAUUUCAACAUGGACACAAGGAGAAGCGGGGACUGUGGAUAAGCCUGGUGGGCGGGUGGUGUCAGGGUCAGCAUCCGGCUGUGACGCUGCAUCUACAGUCCUGCACUGAGACCCACCGGAAGGCUGGGCAGAGUUGCCCUGGGAGCCUCCCACACUGCUUCUGGGACUGUGUGUCCCUGUACCGUUGUUGUGGAGAAUUUCAAUUAAGAAACAGACAACUGUCUGGUCCAGUGGAUCCCGAACUGGAGAGGGAGCCUGGUACUGUUUCAAGGUGGUUGUAGUCAAAAGCCAAGGCCGCCUGGGCAGGUCCACACCCUCGGGGGUAUUCAUGCAGUGUCACCAGAGAUUUCUCCCAUCCUGGAGAUGCGUUAUUGAGUUCCAUUGGUGACUGGUGGGACUUAGACUUGGGGCAGCAGCAGUGGGAGAACGGAGCCUGAAGCCUCUGUCCUGGCCCCAGGACACAGGUGCUGGGAGUUCCCCGGGUUGCCUCUGGCUGUUUACAUCAGCUCCAGGCACUGUGAGAGUAGACAGGAUGGUGAGAUGCAGAUGCCAUGGGCUCCUGGCGACCGCAUAGGAGCCCAGCUGCCUUCCUGCCAACUUCCGCCAUCCCCACGGCCGCCCUGCGGGUGACCCUCUGCUCCUUCCAUUCUGUCCCCGAGCCCUGUCUGUCCUGGUGGUGCAGACAGUCUGGAGACUCUCUUUCCCCUCGGCACAGACGUGGCUCACUGCCGUGGAGCUCGGUCUGGGGCUGCCCCCUGCUCUGUCCACGCCCUGGAGCUGGGUCUGUCCCAGUGGCUGUGAGCCAUCAAGGUCUGUGACGCUGUUUUACAGCCUUAGAAGAACUUCAGAGGGUGAAGCCCUGUAAAAAUAAAAGGAGUUCUGAACAGACUUGAAAGUUUUUAUUGUUUUAUAUUAUACCGCGUCUUGCAUGGAAUGGCCACAAAGCAGCGAGCCUUCCCGGCCACGAGGCUCACUAACAGGGUACGGCUGAGCAAACCAGGGCUCCACACGCAGGACCCAGGACGGGGCAGCAGGCACAAGGGCUGUGGAGGAGGAGGGCGGGGCGAGGACCCACAGGGAGCCGUGUUUUCUCCAGCACCUCUGUGGUGCUUAUUUCAAGAGUGACGAUAUGUGAUGGGAAUAUAAUUUCUGAUUCAUGUUCAAGGGCUUCAUAAUAAAGGAAAAAAGGCUUUCUUAGAAGUGUCAGAACUGAACAAUAAAUAUUUGCCUUUCAAACAAGGUUUGUAUGGCAUUUUGUUUCAUUUUGUUUUGUUUUUCUUUUUUGAGACAGGGUCUUGCUACGCAGUUCAGCUGGACUCAGACUCACUAAGGUAGCUCAGGCUGGCCUCGAACUCAUAACAGUCCUGGCACAGCCUCCCAAGGGCUGAGCCACUGCACCCAGUUCUCCGGCUAAAAUGAAACAGAAGAGACACAGGUGAGCCAGAGCCCCAUGCUCCUCCACAGCCCCCAUGGAGAGGGCAGAUGAGAAUGCCACCAGUGGCGAGCUUAGUCCUGAGCGGCUCGUCAGGGGAGCCCAAGCCCGUCAGCCCCGUCAGGCCGGAGGGGCCCCUGGCAGUCUGAACCCGGGCCCUGCUGAGCCUCGGAAGCAGCGGGCUGAUUCUUCGCAGCCCAGUCCGGGUCGGGGAUGAACAGCCCGUGCAGGUCCAGGUGCAUGUCCACGGCCACCGAGGCGCGAGCCAGUUCCGUGAAGCUCUUGGCAUCCAGAAUCAGCAGGAAAGGUGGCUUCUCUGGGUCGGUGGAGACAACAGCCGACAAGAUGACUCCUUUGGGGAAACAAACAGAAAUACUUCGCUUGUCUCCUUUGAGCCGCUGGGGGCCCUUGCACAGGCCAGGCACGUGCUGUACCAAGUGCACCCCAGCCCUAAAGAGAGGGCAGCCCGAAGCACACUCCCUUGGAGGGACACCUUUCUCAGCUGCUGCAGGUGGCUGAGCACCUCCUGCACAUGCGGGGCGCAUGGCCUUGCCUGGGCCUCCCUCUCCAAGUGCUGCCUUUGGUAACACGAGGGUGACAGCACUCCCUGCUCACUGACUGUGGAGAAAGCGAGUGCCCAGCCCCGUGGGGGAGCAGCUUCAGCAGAGUCCAUGCCCACCACCCCCCACCUUGGAGGUGACGGUGACAGGGGUCCCCAGCCCAGGGUGCAGCGGGAAGACAGGGCCAGGUAGGAAGCCCGUCCCUCUGCAGCUGAGGCAGACAGCCCGGCCUUGCCUGCAGGUGUGUGUGGCCCUGUCACCACUCAGCGGGGUGCAUCCCUACACAGGGUCCUUUCCAUAUUCCUUAGUGUCCCCAGGACAAAGGCAGAGAGUCAAGGCCAUGCGGAGCCCAGGAAAGGGAGCUGGGCCACAGAUCCAUGACCCCAAGCGGCUCCAUGGAAGCCGCACAACAUCUGGACCAGCCACUGAGGUGAUGCUCACAGCCCACGCUGCACACCCACGGAGAGUUCAGAGGCACUCAAUGGAAGGGACGCGAGCUUUGCGUAGUGGAGAAUGUGACCUUGCCCCAGGAGGGACCUGACAUUGUCCCCGGGGACCCUCUCUAAGCCCUGUUAGAAUGUCCCUGUUCUCCUAAGGACCCGGGCUGGGCAGACGGUUUGUCCUCACAGCGUGGGCUAUGGUGGGGCCGCUGGUCACAAGGCGUCAGCUUAACCUUGGAUGCCGAGGCUCUGGGAAGCUCCUUGGCUGGUACUGCUUGGGGCUCAGUGUACCCCACCCCGUCAGAUGUUCAUGCUGUCUCCAGCUCCCCCAGAAGAGGACGGCAGGUGUCCCCUGAACCCCACAGCCUUUCACCGCAGUGAACCCCAGCCCUGAGAAUGGCUUUCUGCGAGUUCCAUGCACCUCCUGAGAAGCACACAGCCCAGGGCUCCGGGGGCCGAGCACCUGCGAUGAGGGUCAGCAGCCAGAGUGGACAGCACACAGAGCCUGACUGCACAGAGGGCCUCCCUAGCUGGGUGGGUCAGAAGUCCCCAGACGAGGCCUCUGCUCAGCGGUCCCCACCAGGCUGGCCUCCCCGGGGGUCUCACCAUCGUCCUCAUCCUCGGCAUCUGGCGCGGGCACAAACAGGGGCUCAGCCGGCCAGCAGCUCUCCUCUCCCCAUUUCAAGGAUGACUUGGUGAGGGUGUCGUAUUUCAGUAUCUGUGAGCAGAAGAAGAAGAGGGGACUCGAGGGAGUCACUUGUUUGCAAACAGCAGCUCCCCAGGGACAGGAAGGCGUGCAGGCCCUGGGGGGGGGGCGACUUCUGGCUCCCCUGAACUCCCCUCCUCCACCUUCAAACCUCUGCAGUUCUGGCUGUCCCGCAGCUGACUGCAGACCAUGAAGUCUCAGAAAAGCCCUGAAUUCUUUUUGUAUUUAGCACUACACUGGGAUUGUAUAUGCUAAAAAACCCAAAAAACUACUGUGUUAAAUGCCAACAGUAAUGAUAUACUUUUCUUUGUUGUUUUAAAGGUGGAUAUUUAGAGGAGCAUGGUGACCAAGGCCUCUAAACCCAGUAUUCUGGGAGGCUGAGGCAGGAGGAUCAUAAAUUUGAGCCCAGUUGGAGCAAUGUAGGGAGACUGGGUCUCAAAAUUAAAAAGGGCUGGGAAUGUAGCUCACUGUGAAGGCUCUGGGUUCAGUCCCCAGGACUGCAAACCAAACAGACAGGAAAGUGAAAAUCCUGGGCCUCUGCUCACCUCCCCAGGCCUGUCCCAUUUAAAGUGUAGGAUUAGUGGGGAGUGGCUCAGGGUGUGUGUGCAUAUGUGUGUGUCUGGGAACCUUAAUUUUUGGCCUUGUACGUUUCUGCACUGUGUGAAAUUUCUAAAAAUGCUAAGUUAUUGAAGAAUGACGUUCUGAAGGAAAAGAGAGUUCUGUGUGGCCGUUUGCACAGUGCUGAGGCAUAGUUAGUACUGACAGACAGUAGCUUAAAAUGCAGAACCCCUGCCAGCGCCAGCCACACCCUCCUCCGCUCAAGAGGGUGAGCGAGUUCUUAAAGGCAGGAACGGGGUCCCACGCUGACUCCCACGUCCUCAUCCUCCUGCUCGUGGAGGGUCCCUGACUCCCGCAGACCCUGUUUUCUGAUCACCGUCACCCAGUCUCACGACCUGCAGACCACUCGGGCACUCGGGGACCCCCUACCUUGGUUGGGAUCGGACUCCACUGCACUCCGGCGGCGAACACGUAUCUGUACGGCUUCCCGUUGCGGGUGUAGUUGAUCCGGGGGAGCUCCAAGCCUGGAGAGAAACAGCCAGGCGGCUGUGGGAGAAUCUCCCUUUCGGCCCCCUGGCCUCCUUCCCGCAGAGGCAGCUCCCAAAGGAGCCCCUGAACUUGACCGAGACCCAGCUGGGUGGGCCAAGCCCGGAGAGGAGGCCCUGACCUUUACCCUGCCUCUGUUCCAAAGUUGGGGUGCCGGGCAGCGGAAACCUGGGGUGUGCAGGGCACACGCACCUCUAAAUCCCCAAGACAGAAGUCGAACAGACUGUGUGAUUAAAAUUGGAGGCCGCCACAAUUUUUCAAAGAUCUUUUUCCAAAAAAGUGUGUGUGUGUGUGUGUGUGUGUGUGUGUGUGCGCGUGUGCGCAUGUGGGUGUGAAGAGCAAUUUGGAGACCACAGGGAAGAGCAUCAGUGGGGAAUAUAAAUAAAGCUCAUUCGUUAUGUUUCAAUAACGUGUAAAACUAAUGUUUGUGAAGGAUUUUAAUAACAAGUGCGAGGUGGGCCAAGGGGAGUCUGCAGCACUGUGCUCAACACUGAGGAAGGCGGGGACCCUCCCCUGAGCGGUUCUUUUUCUCUUUUUUUCUGUCUGUCUGUCUGUCUGUCUGUCUCUCUCUCUCUUUUUGUGGUACUGGGGGUUGAAUCAAGCCUUUGGUAGUGAGCUACAACUCUAGCCCAAUUUUUAUUUUGAAAUAGUAUCUCACUAAACUGCUAAAUUACCUGCCCGGGGCUAGAAUUUGCAAUCCUGCCUCAGGUUUUGUGUGUGUGUGUGUGUGUGUGGUAUCGGGGAUAGAACUCACGACCUCACGCAUGCCAGGCAGGCACUUAUGCCACUGAGCUACAUCCCCAGCCUUCUUCUUUUUUAUAAUGCUGGCUUUAAACUCAUGGGGUUUACAGGUAAAAAUGUGUUAGUUUUUGCUGUUUGGGGUCAAGCUCAGGGCCUUGCAUGCGCUGGGCAAGGGCUCCACCCUGAGCUAUGCACCCAGCCCUGCACCAGCCGGUGGAUUUAAACCCAGAGCACAGCUCCAUCGGCUCCCUCACUUGCCUGUUCUGGUUCGGGUGCAGACCCUGUGGCAUCCAGUGGGCAAAGCUGAGGUUGCUGCUGGGGUGCUGUGGCAGCCCUGUACAGCCUCCACCAAGAGCUUUCUGGCCCCUGCACCAACCUGGCCCAGGUGGAGAAGCCCCACGCCCCGGUCGUGGAUCUUGCCCUGGGGGGUUUGUUCCCUGCGCUUAGCUCUAUCUCUCUCCGGGCAGUGCCUUCUCAAAAAUGGGUCUGUAACCCAUUUCCUGGGCGCUGGGACCAUGCAGAGACAGAAGUAGGGACCAGUGGUCCUUUGCAGGUGACACCUGUGAAUGUCAUCGGAACAGGGGUGUAGGAAGCUAUCUGAGAGAGAAAGGUCCCCAAGUGCUUCCUUGGGAGCCCGAGAGCCUUUCCUCAGAGUCCUUGUCCUGCAGUGUACAGAGGUGUCAUGUACAGACAGACACCUCUGCAGUCGCUGUUAAUAUCUUCCCCCCAGACUCGGCAUGAGAGAUGGAUCGCACCUUGGCACAGCAGCUCGGGCCGGCAGUACACCUGGUCGUCCCCUUCCUUCAGGGCGGUUGCUGUUGUGGAUGCCGCCUUGAUUAGAUUUGAGCCCACUUCUGCAUUCUGAAAAGAAUCAGUGGGAAAGGAAGGAGGGAGGGAGAGAGAGAGAGAGGGAGAGAGAGAGAGAGAGAGAGAGAGAGAGAGAGAGAGAUGUCACUUGAGCAAACCUUCCCUUUACUUUAUACAUGUAGAAAAUGCUUUUAGUGUUUUAGUGUAUAUCCUCUAUUUGGCUAGAUAGCAUGCAUCCUCUUGCCUGGCUCACAUGAACUAGCAGAAGCAGCUAUUUUAUUAUCCUUAUUUUUACUCAUUGGCAACUUAAAGUGACUCCCCCAAGGUCGCAUAGCUGGUGGGCAGUAGAACCAGGACUAACCCUGGAGCUCUCUUCUCUUAUUUUGGAAAAAUGAAGGUGCCUAGAAGACAGGCUCUCACUUUUAAAAUCCUGGCUGAUUCACCUGUCAUUAAGAGGGUGCUUUCACAAAGAGUUUACAACAGCAUGAGGAAUGCUUGUGGUACAGCACAGAGUAAAAACCUCGGCACAAAUUACAUACGCAGGCUGGGCUCUGCCACAUACACAAGGGACACCAAAAAGCCACUGGGAGAAACAGACCAUCUACUAACAACAGCACAGGACUAUGAGGACUUUCAGGUCUUUUUCCACACUUCCCAUACGUUCCCCUGUGAAAAAACGUGUCACCGCUGAAAUGGGAACAAACACGAGAUAAACGUUAUUGGAGAAACAAACAACUUUCAAGGACAUCGCUUGGUCUCAAGGUGCAAUUCGGCUUCUUCUGCACAACACCUGACUCCCCUCCUCAUGACCCAGGAGAAGCAUUCAGCGUGAGCAGUGUUUAUUGAUCACCCACCAGUUAGUGCCUCCCACGUGCUCACCACGCUGCCGUUGAGGUCCCCCCUGUGUACACUGAGGAUGAUAUUAGUGUAGGCGCCUCGGAGUUACUGAGAAGGUUAAACGAGGUUAUCCCCACAGGUAGUUUACAGGAGUCUCUGGCUAGCAGGAAGUGCUGGAGGAUGGUAGCACAGUCCUGGAUGACUAACGGGCAGGUAGUAUAUACAGCCUGGAUACACUGAACACAUCCCAGGAGCACAGAGCAGGACGGCUUGCAAUGUCAUCCUGCUAUUCAGGGCAGCACACAAUGUAAAACUUACACAUCGUCCAUGUCAGUGUUUUUCAUUUAAUGUUUUUGGAUCACAAUUGAUCGUAGGUAACUGAACUGUGGAGAGCAAAACUGUAGCUGUGGGGGUGUAACUGUGUGUUUAUUCUUAUUACCAUUGUGAUGAUAAUUACUGUUACUAUACUGCUGCCACCACUGGUGGGGUCUCUACAGAACACCAAGGAACCAGACCACAGAUCUUUGUUGUGGCUGGUUUCUCAUUUAAACUUUUUCUCCUCACACCAAGUUUUCCAAAGUGGCUUUUACGAUUAAAUGCAAUCCAUUCUAA